AGAGUUUGAUCCUGGCUCAGGACGAACGCUGGCGGCGCGCCUAACACAUGCAAGUCGAACGGGAUCCGCGUGCUCGGCACUGAGCGCGAAGAGUAGGUGAAACAAGUAGCCGACAGCGUCAUGCGAGAGGAAAGGUAUUACGCUGCGACCUAAGUUGAUAGUAGAAGGAUAAUUUGGGAGCAGGGGCAUGUAAGAACCGAAACUCGAGCAUCACGCUUUUCCAAGUGAAUAGCACAUGCAAAAACUUGGGCGCUGAGUGUUGAGCACGCGGUGAGAGUGGCGGACGGGCGAGUAACGCGUGAGCAACCAACCUUGCACUGGGGGAUAACGUCGGGAAACCGGCGCUAAUACCGCAUGACAUUACUGGAUCGCAUGGUCUUGUAAUCAAAGCUCCGGCGGUGCGAGACGGGCUCGCGUCCAAUUAGCUGGUUGGCGGGGUAAAGGCCCACCAAGGCGACGAUUGGUAGCCGAACUGAGAGGUUGAUCGGCCGCAUUGGGACUGAGACACGGCCCAGACUCCUACGGGAGGCAGCAGUGGGGAAUCUUGCGCAAUGGGGGAAACCCUGACGCAGCGACGCCGCGUGAAGGAAGAAGGCCUUCGGGUUGUAAACUUCUUUGAUCGGGGACGAAGCAGACGGUACCCGAGGAACAAGCCACGGCUAACUACGUGCCAGCAGCCGCGGUAAUACGUAGGUGGCGAGCGUUGUCCGGAAUUACUGGGCGUAAAGGGCGUGUAGGCGGGGGUAGAAGUCAGGUGUGAAAUACCGCGGCUCAACUGCGGGGAUGCAUCUGAAACUCUGCUUCUUGAGUGUCGGAGAGGAAAGCGGAAUUCCCAGUGUAGCGGUGAAAUGCGUAGAGAUUGGGAGGAACACCAGUGGCGAAGGCGGCUUUCUGGACGACAACUGACGCUGAGGCGCGAAAGCGUGGGGAGCAAACAGGAUUAGAUACCCUGGUAGUCCACGCUGUAAACGAUGGAUACUAGGUGUAGGAGGUAUCGACCCCUUCUGUGCCGGAGUUAACACAAUAAGUAUCCCGCCUGGGGAGUACGGCCGCAAGGCUGAAACUCAAAUGAAUUGACGG
Molecule: ribosomal RNA, 1080 nt
Filed under: uncultured bacterium
Lineage: Bacteria
Description: bacterial SSU rRNA
Rfam family: Bacterial small subunit ribosomal RNA
Source: RNAcentral